UGCAGUUAAAAAGCUCGUAGUUGGAUUUCUGGGAGGGUGCCAUUGUCCGCCAAAGCGCGUGUGCAGCGGCGCCCUUCCAUCCUUCUGUUAACGCUCUUGGCAUUCAUUUGCUGGUGGCGGGCUCAGAUAUUUUACCUUGAGAAAAUUAGAGUGUUUCAGGCAGGCUUGGCCGGAAUACAUUAGCAUGGAAUAAUGGAGUAGGACUAUGGUCUCUUUGUUGGUUUGAGGGACUGCAGUAAUGAUUAAUAGGGAUAGUUGGGGGCAUUAGUAUUUAAUUGUCAGAGGUGGAAUUCUCAGAUUUGUCAAAGACUAACUUAUGCGAAAGCAUUUGCCAAGGAUGUUUUCAUUAAUCAAGAACGAAAGUUAGUGUAUCUAAGACGAUCAGAUACCGUCCUAGUCUUAACCAAAAACUAUGCCGACUCGGGAUCGGGGGCGAGCACCAUCCGCCUUCGGCACCGUAUGAGAAAUCCAAGUCUUUGGGUUCUGGGG
RNAcentral lists this ribosomal RNA (489 nucleotides) under uncultured Oligotrichia. Its description in RNAcentral is "SSU rRNA". It matches the Rfam family "Eukaryotic small subunit ribosomal RNA", at positions 614 to 1119 of the family's 1831-position model. Lineage: Eukaryota; Ciliophora; Spirotrichea. The record is from RNAcentral.